This 72-nucleotide transfer RNA is filed under the name Marmota marmota marmota (Alpine marmot). It matches the Rfam family "tRNA". Rfam says of the family: Transfer RNA (tRNA) molecules are approximately 80 nucleotides in length. RNAcentral also lists the same sequence under 1 other name. The record is from Rfam by way of RNAcentral. Lineage: Eukaryota; Metazoa; Chordata; Mammalia; Rodentia; Sciuridae.
UGGGGUGUGGCUCAGAAGUAGAGCACUUGCCUAGCAUGUGUGAGGCACUGGGUUCAAUCCUCAGCACCACAU